UGGCUCGGAGCUCGAGUGACAGAGCAGCGGACUUUUAAUCCGCAAGGUGCGGGUUUGAGCCCCGUCGAGUCAACCA
This 76-nucleotide transfer RNA is filed under the name Pyrinomonadaceae bacterium. RNAcentral's name for it is "tRNA-Lys". It matches the Rfam family "tRNA". From Rfam's summary of the family: Transfer RNA (tRNA) molecules are approximately 80 nucleotides in length. Their secondary structure includes four short double-helical elements and three loops (D, anti-codon, and T loops). Further hydrogen bonds mediate the characteristic L-shaped molecular structure. tRNAs have two regions of fundamental functional importance: the anti-codon, which is responsible for specific mRNA codon recognition, and the 3' end, to which the tRNAs corresponding amino acid is attached (by aminoacyl-tRNA synthetases). tRNAs cope with the degeneracy of the genetic code in two manners: having more than one tRNA (with a specific anti-codon) for a particular amino acid; and 'wobble' base-pairing, i.e. permitting non-standard base-pairing at the 3rd anti-codon position. Lineage: Bacteria; Pseudomonadati; Acidobacteriota; Blastocatellia; Blastocatellales; Pyrinomonadaceae. The record is from RNAcentral.